Molecule: long non-coding RNA, 463 nt
Organism: Choloepus didactylus (southern two-toed sloth)
Lineage: Eukaryota; Metazoa; Chordata; Mammalia; Pilosa; Megalonychidae
Exons: 3
Source: RefSeq, a predicted model, not a curated record
GAUGAACCAUCUCUAAUUCAGCAUAUCGAUCAAGGAUGCUUGGGGGCAGUAUUUUGGAAUCAAGCUCCAUGUUGCCAAGGUCCCUGCAUACUUCAAGACCAAAUCCAGGGGAAGAUGGAAAGGCAUUUCUGGCUUGGAGCCCACGAGAGGACCUGGCAGGAGAAGAGGAGAACCAGGAAAUGGAGGGUCAUGGAAGGUGGAGAGAGGGGUCGAGAGGAUGACCCACAGCAUCAUAUGUUGAAGAGAACCUGAGGAAGAUGAGAACUGGCGAGGUUUAAGAUGUUUCAGUGGGAUGGUGCUGGUGGAAGAUGGAUCAAUGUAUGAAGUGGUGUGGAGUGAAAGAGUAGAAAUCUGUGUGUAACUAUUGAAGAAUUUUGCAAAUAAUAAAUGGAUGGGGAUGAGUUGAUAACUUGAGAGAAUAGUCUUUUAGAUUUUAAUCAAGAGGGGUCACUUGAGCAUGUUG